RNAcentral lists this ribosomal RNA (497 nucleotides) under uncultured bacterium. Its description in RNAcentral is "partial 16S ribosomal RNA". It matches the Rfam family "Bacterial small subunit ribosomal RNA", at positions 28 to 507 of the family's 1533-position model. The record is from RNAcentral.
GAUGAACGCUGGCGGCGUGCCUAAUACAUGCAAGUCGAGCGAACGGACGAGAAGCUUGCUCCUCUGAUGUUAGCGGCGGACGGGUGAGUAACACGUGGAUAACCUACCUAUAAGACUGGGAUAACUUCGGGAAACCGGAGCUAAUACCGGAUGAUAUUUUGAACCGCAUGGUUCAAAAGUGAAAGACGGUCUUGCUGUCGCUUAUAGAUGGAUCCGCGCUGCAUUAGCUAGUUGGUAAGGUAACGGCUUACCAAGGCAACGAUGCAUAGCCGACCUGAGAGGGUGAUCGGCCACACUGGAACUGAGACACGGUCCAGACUCCUACGGGAGGCAGCAGUAGGGAAUCUUCCGCAAUGGGCGAAAGCCUGACGGAGCAACGCCGCGUGAGUGAUGAAGGUCUUCGGAUCGUAAAACUCUGUUAUUAGGGAAGAACAUAUGUGUAAGUAACUGUGCACAUCUUGACGGUACCUAAUCAGAAAGCCACGGCUAACUACGUG